AAAGGUGGUAAUGCCGGAUGCUCCAGUUGAUCGCAUGGUCUUCUGGGAAAGCUUUCGCGGUAUGGGAUGGGGUCGCGUCCUAUCAGCUUGACGGCGGGGUAACGGCCCACCGUGGCUUCGACGGGUAGCCGGCCUGAGAGGGCGACCGGCCACAUUGGGACUGAGAUACGGCCCAGACUCCUACGGGAGGCAGCAGUGGGGAAUAUUGCACAAUGGGCGCAAGCCUGAUGCAGCGACGCCGCGUGAGGGAUGGAGGCCUUCGGGUUGUAAACCUCUUUUAUCGGGGAGCAAGCGAGAGUGAGUUUACCCGUUGAAUAAGCACCGGCUAACUACGUGCCAGCAGCCGCGGUAAUACGUAGGGUGCAAGCGUUAUCCGGAAUUAUUGGGCGUAAAGGGCUCGUAGGCGGUUCGUCGCGUCCGGUGUGAAAGUCCAUCGCUUAACGGUGGAUCCGCGCCGGGUACGGGCGGGCUUGAGUGCGGUAGGGGAGACUGGAAUUCCCGGUGUAACGGUGGAAUGUGUAGAUAUCGGAAAGAACACCAAA
This 542-nucleotide ribosomal RNA is filed under the name Bifidobacterium longum. RNAcentral's name for it is "bacterial SSU rRNA". It matches the Rfam family "Bacterial small subunit ribosomal RNA", at positions 156 to 713 of the family's 1533-position model. Lineage: Bacteria; Bacillati; Actinomycetota; Actinomycetes; Bifidobacteriales; Bifidobacteriaceae. The record is from RNAcentral.